CAAUACACAAGAUGUCCGCCAGAAAAUUACGAGCGAAAAGCUUAAAACUCAAAGGACUUGGCGGUGCCCCACACCCGACUUAGAGGAGCCUGUCCUAUAAUCGAUACUCCACGCUAAACCUCACCAUUCAUUGCCUAGACAGCCUAUAUACCGCCGUCGCCAACUUACCCUCUGAAGGUAAAACAGUAAGUACAACAGUUUAUUAACUAAAACGUCAGGUCAAGGUGUAGCUUAUAGAAUGGAAGAGAUGGGCUACAUUUUUUAUAACAAAACAUACGGCAUGGAACUGUGAAACCAGUUCUUAAAGGAGGAUUUAAUAGUAAAAUUAAUAAGAAAAUUAAUUU
Molecule: ribosomal RNA, 344 nt
Filed under: Holbrookia maculata maculata
Lineage: Eukaryota; Metazoa; Chordata; Lepidosauria; Squamata; Phrynosomatidae
Description: partial 12S ribosomal RNA
Rfam family: Bacterial small subunit ribosomal RNA
Source: RNAcentral